Molecule: ribosomal RNA, 404 nt
Filed under: Clostridioides difficile
Lineage: Bacteria; Bacillati; Bacillota; Clostridia; Peptostreptococcales; Peptostreptococcaceae
Description: bacterial SSU rRNA
Rfam family: Bacterial small subunit ribosomal RNA
Source: RNAcentral
UCUAGAGAGACUGCCAGGGAUAACCUGGAGGAAGGUGGGGAUGACGUCAAAUCAUCAUGCCCCUUAUGCUUAGGGCUACACACGUGCUACAAUGGGUAGUACAGAGGGUUGCCAAGCCGUAAGGUGGAGCUAAUCCCUUAAAGCUACUCUCAGUUCGGAUUGUAGGCUGAAACUCGCCUACAUGAAGCUGGCGUUACUAGUAAUCGCAGAUCAGAAUGCUGCGGUGAAUGCGUUCCCGGGUCUUGUACACACCGCCCGUCACACCACGGGAGUUGGAGACGCCCGAAUCCGAUUAUCUAACCUUUUGGAAGACGUCGUCGAAGGUGGAAUCAAUAACUGGGGUGAAGUCGUAACAAGGUAGCCGUAUCGGAAGGUGCGGCUGGAUCACCUCCUUUCUAAGGAGA